UAACGGCCCACCAAGGCGACGAUCAGUAGGGGUUCUGAGAGGAAGGUCCCCCACAUUGGAACUGAGACACGGUCCAAACUCCUACGGGAGGCAGCAGUGAGGAAUAUUGGUCAAUGGACGAGAGUCUGAACCAGCCAAGUAGCGUGCAGGAUGACGGCCCUAUGGGUUGUAAACUGCUUUUAUAAGGGAAUAAAGUGAGUCUCGUGAGACUUUUUGCAUGUACCUUAUGAAUAAGGACCGGCUAAUUCCGUGCCAGCAGCCGCGGUAAUACGGAAGGUCCGGGCGUUAUCCGGAUUUAUUGGGUUUAAAGGGAGCGUAGGCCGGAGAUUAAGCGUGUUGUGAAAUGUAGACGCUCAACGUCUGCACUGCAGCGCGAACUGGUUUCCUUGAGUACGCACAAAGUGGGCGGAAUUCGUGGUGUAGCGGUGAAAUGCUUAGAUAUCACGAAGAACUCCGAUUGCGAAGGCAGCUCACUGGAGCGCAACUGACGCUGAAGCUCGAAAGUGCGGGUAUCGAACAGGAUUAGAUACCCUGGUAGUCCGCACGGUAAACGAUGGAUGCCCGCUGUUGGUCUGAAUAGGUCAGCGGCCAAGCGAAAGCAUUAAGCAUCCCACCUGGGGAGUA
RNAcentral lists this ribosomal RNA (624 nucleotides) under uncultured bacterium. RNAcentral's name for it is "bacterial SSU rRNA". It matches the Rfam family "Bacterial small subunit ribosomal RNA", at positions 258 to 882 of the family's 1533-position model. The record is from RNAcentral.